Long non-coding RNA from Arachis stenosperma, 384 nucleotides. RefSeq lists it as uncharacterized. The transcript has 3 exons. NCBI's taxonomy places the organism in Eukaryota, Viridiplantae, Streptophyta, Magnoliopsida, Fabales, Fabaceae. The record is from RefSeq and is a predicted model, not a curated record.
CAUCAAGUUGGGUGUAUCUUGUUCACUAAGUUGGAUGUAUAUUUGUUUUGAAUAACAUGAAAUCUGUUUAGACUACCGGCUGUCAACUUGGGAAGUGAUGAUACUUCCUCUCAAAGACGCACAGAACAGAGUAGUGUAACCCUGCCGUCUCAGAGCAUGUUGACUCCGGACGAUUCGAAUAUGAUGGUUGUUAGGGAACAAACGCCGUCGGAAGCGCUUGCAAUAGUCCCGAUCCAAUUUUUUGUGCCGCCAUCCCAGCAAACAACCACUGACGCAGAUUCCGAACCAACCCCUAUGCUACAGAUUGAAGGGGCUAGAGAAACGUAAGAAAAUAGUAUUGGGUGUAUAUUUGCUUAAUGUUUGGGUGUAUAUUUGCUAAGAGUU